Long non-coding RNA from Pygocentrus nattereri (red-bellied piranha), 1347 nucleotides. The record is from Ensembl. NCBI's taxonomy places the organism in Eukaryota, Metazoa, Chordata, Actinopteri, Characiformes, Serrasalmidae.
GUUGUCACAGCUUCAUAAAACCUUGGAGGAGUGUGAGACAGGAGAGCAUAGGGUGCAGUCACUGGAGAGGUUGAUUUUGAAGACAGGAACUCUCACCAGCUCUUCCUACAAAACAUGCUUACUACUUCUGUAUCACUCCAGUGCUAGUAUGGUGUAUUGUUGUAUUAGAUAGACUUACUGUCAAAGUAAGGUAGUGUUGUCUGUAACAGUUCCAGUCUAAAGAGAAGGAAGAGAGGAGAAGAGAGGAGAAGAGGGAAGACGAUAAGCCAGAGGAGAGAGUGGAAAAAGGCAAAGCGAAAUGUAAGACGAGGAAGUAAAACAAGACCUCACAGUCUGCUCAGCUGGCCUUACAUGUUCUUUGAUGGCCUCCCAGUCUCCUGCAGAUGAAACUCAAGUAUAAGUGAAAGGUUAGAUCAUUUUAAUUACAUUUUUUCAUGCAUAGAAAGAAGCGGCCAAUUCUUGAAGCCAGGGCAGGCCCUUCCAUUAGGCGCUAUAGGCAAAUGCUAGGGGCGCUCGUGUGCAUGUGUUUUUUUUGUUUUUUUUUUUACAAAUGAGCAAUUAAUAAAUAUGAAAACAUGCAAAGUCCACGUAAUCAUAACUUCAUUGUUUAAUAAUAUUAGUCAAAUUAAUAAUUAUUAUAAUAACAACACACAACACCUAUCACCUCUGCACACCUCGUUACUGUUUCUCUGUGAGGAAAAAGACAACGCCACAGAGUGAGUGACAUCUCCCCGUAAAGAUGUCUAAAAGGCAGAAGUCCUCUGGUGCCCAGGGCAGAAAAAGGAGAAAAGAGGAGGAAGAAAGGUGGCGAACAGAGAAAACAAACUGUCCAGCCUAUGACCAGCUGCUGGUAAUCCCUUCCUUGUUGCCGGAACCGUUGAAAAACCUCAGACACAGGUAGAAGUACAAAAUCAAGUGAGGUGUCUGAAGGUUGAAUGUUGAUGGGCCACAGUUUUAUAGCUGCUCAGCCAGAUUUCUCCUCUGAUGACCUCCCAGUCUUCUGCUUUGAUGGUCUCCCCAGUCUCCAGCUCAACCAGACUCCCUGUCUUUCAUCCUACAUUGGGUCUCAUCAGCUACAGCUCCAUCCUAUUUCUGCCUACUCAAAGUUCCAAACACCUUUUUCUUCUUCAUUGUACAUUUCUCAAAUGCAUUUUUAAAACUUCCUCAGUGUUUACAGUUCUCUGCUAUUCCUUGUGUUUUGGUCCUUGCUCUGUUUUCUUGGUUUUAGAUUAUGGAUUUCUCUUGUCUGCCUGCCUACCUGUGUACAGACCUCUGCCUGUGCCCAUGAUGAAGAGUACUGGAAGCCCUCACAUGUGGGCUGCCUACACAGAUCCAGCACCAGUCUGA